This 326-nucleotide unclassified non-coding RNA is filed under the name Hevea brasiliensis (rubber tree). Lineage: Eukaryota; Viridiplantae; Streptophyta; Magnoliopsida; Malpighiales; Euphorbiaceae. The record is from RNAcentral.
AGAACAUCGCAUAAAUAGCGGAGGAAGAGGGGGCAGAGCUCUUAGUGACUCACUCGCGCCUUUUAGGCUAAAUAGAACUCAGCGAGAUGCCAUCCCUAACACAGAUACACAUCCUCUUGUCUUCGAAUGCCAAGGGAAGUGCAUCGAUGCCUGAGUCCAUAAACCACUAAAUAACAGAACCGCAGGCACGGGAGGACAGGACCACCACCACUAAACCCACUAUCCAAAGCCACCGCAAGUUGCUGAAGAUCCCUCUCAGUACAGAACAAACCUGCAUGUAACAAAAACACACCCAAAAGCUAUAUGCAAUCCCAUCGAAGAUGGGG